Brassica rapa (field mustard) is the source of this 3729-nucleotide long non-coding RNA. RefSeq lists it as uncharacterized. NCBI's taxonomy places the organism in Eukaryota, Viridiplantae, Streptophyta, Magnoliopsida, Brassicales, Brassicaceae. The record is from RefSeq and is a predicted model, not a curated record.
UUAAACUAAGUAAAAUAUGGAAAGAAAAUUCAUGUAAUUAUAUUAAUGAAAUUAAUAAAAAGACACUAUAUUUUUUUUAUAUUGUUAUCCAUGUUUCUAAACAAUUUUCAUUUAUAAUGUUAUUUAUGUUUCAAAACAGUACCAAAAUGUAUUUCAAUUUUAAUAAGAUCCUCGAUAAUAAGAAAAAAAGGAAAGAAUCUGAGAAAACUAAGCUCAUGAUCAUUAAUUCUCCAAUUAUAAAUUUAUCACUUUUUUAUCCUCACUCAAUUUACAUCAAACUAUAUAUUAAGAAAAAAGAAGACAACUCUUGGUAUUGUUUAAAAGAAAAAAAAAGAUUGAGUGCGAGACAUUUAUAAAAUGGGUUCUUCAAUACUCUUGGUCGCAUUCGCGCUAGUGAUUACAUUGUCCAUCUCCUAUGAUCAUUUAUCCGGAAUAGGAAUAAACGCGAUAGUUCUGCCUCCGGAUUGUUUCAGCGACAAGGCAUGUAACAUAACGUUUAAUAAUCAAGCAUGUAACAAAAUGUGUAGAGGAAUGUCUUAUAAAGAUGGUCGCUGCACGGACCCUGAACUCAUCCCUCCCUAUUUCUGGCGUUGUUGUUGUAACCCAAAAUAACUACACUUUCUUUGAUCAAUAUAUUUCUUUUUUUAAUGCUUUAAAUAUCUAGGAAUAUAAAAAAAAAUUGUGAGAAUUUCAUAUAAAUAUCUAAUUUGAUUAGUGCACUGUAUUUUUCCUGAAAAUAAUAAUUUUAUUAUGAGAUAAUUGUGAUUGUUUUUUGAGCAAAUUAGCUCAAUAUACUAAAAAAGGUGGGAUACCAUAGAAUGGAGGGAAAAUGGUAAUGAUGGGAGAAGAAAAUUGGAGGGAUAUAGAGUAUGGAGUGCAAAUAGGGGAGAUUUGGUGUGUAUGGAGUACAAAUUCUCUUGUUUUUUUGACAUCGAGAUAAUUGUAAUUGUUAUUUAACAAAAAAAAAACACUUAGCAAUAUGUUUUUCUAAAAUCAUAAAGGUGUAAGAAAAUCUGAGAGACAAUGGUUAUUCUAACUGAAUUUUUAUGCAUAUUUUUCGUUUCGAAUUAUAGAUAUAUGUGUGUGUGUCUAAUUUACACGAACUCCGAAAUAUUUAAAUAAACUAUAUAAUUUUUUGAAAAUCUAUCUAAAUCUGUACUGACCUUAAUCAAACUGUUAAUUCGAAUGAUUAAACAUCUAACAUGGAAAUCAACUUAAUAACCAAGAAUCCUUAAGAUCCACGUACCUUCUAUCUCCAUACUUUUGAACAUGUAGGGAAUGCUCUGAUACCACGUAUUAUGAUUUCUUAUGGCUGUUUCAACAUCUGAGUUCGUUCACGAAUGAUUGAUUCCAAAUUCCCAAUCUCGAUGAGUAUUUCAGUGACCUAUACGAGAACAUAACACACAAAGAUUACUUAUUCUGUGUUCACCAAUGUGACUACUCACGGAGGAGGGAUCUGUAUCCCUCAAGCUCAAUAUAACUUCUUUAUCCUGAAAACACACUGAAAUCACCUCUGAUUUUGGGAUCCUUGAUAAUGAUGACACUAUGAGCUAAAUUAUCUCACUUGUUUUCUUAUCCGAUCGAUCUUGAUAUAGUCUCUGAGCUCUCUUUUUCUCAAGUUUACUCUCUCUUCUCUAACUUACUUCUCACUCUUCUGUAAAUCGCAUGAAGAAAACGAUGAUUCUUCUUGUUAUACAUCUGUUGCAAGCCCAAUGGACUUAUGUUUUGGCCCAACCGUCGGCACAAGGAAAGGACUGAAACUGUUUCAGUGAAACACAAAGCACGUAAAUCAUCUGGUCGGUGUUUGACUGAAUAGUCUCACACAACUUGGAAGAAGUUAUGGAUAUGACGAUAUUAGAACAAAAGCGUUAUGGUUACGAGACUUCUAAUUAUUAUGGAACCUCUCCUUUGUUAUUCGUAAGAAAUUUAUUUAUUUAAUAUUGAUUUCUUUAUUAUUAUAUCAAACCAUAUCUUCAGAACUUGGACUAUCUUAUAUAAUUGUAUAGAUAGACUCUCUUUUAAUUGGGGUUUUUAAUCAAAGCAUCUAACCUAUAAUAAAAGGGGAAUAUGGUGAAUGGGGAGGAUGUCCACGUCACUAAAAAAAUCAACCAAUCAGAAUCAUGUUACACAUCGUAUGGGCUUCAAUUAAAUUGUUACCGUUUGGGCUUAGUUACAUUUGUAAACGUUUGGGCUUGAAGUAAUUGAUUUGGAUCAAUUAAAUCAGAAAACCAAACCGGUAAAAGAUAAAUCUAUAAUCGCCUCUAACACUUCGUCUUCUUCUCCGUCUCAAGAUCAAAGAAACUCAGUUUAGAUGGAGCCACUUCUAAACAAUCAAUUAUCAACUUUAUGUUUUCUAAUCAAUUCGUUCUUAAUGAGAUCGUUUCAUCUUCCUCUCUUCCUCCUUUUUAUACUGAUUAUUUCCUUUCGGAUCAAAGAUGUGUGGACAUGAAUUGUUAUCGUUUUACAUCUCUUUGAUCCGCCGUAUCCGCUAUUCAUGUAAAGACAUGAAUUGUUGUCUGAACUCUUGGCCUCCUCUAUUGUUGAACGUAAUUUCAUAAUCUCUCCUGUAAAUGUUAUGUUCAUUUAACCCAAAAAUGCUAUCGCCUUCUCCGUUUUCGUCGUGUUGGACCUAUAAAUUGGAAAGGGUUGAGUGCCGUGGUUGACACUACUUAUGCAUCAAAACCCACUUCGAAAUUCAAAUUUCAGUCUAUUCAGUUCACUUAGCCUCCUCCGAUCCUUCAUUUUUUUUAUCAAUUUCAGAUAAAAACCCUAAUCCACUGAAUUGGUUUUUGGUGUUUUACUAUCUUUGCAGGCCCAAAUUGCCUUCAAGGUGUCAUAAGAUAUUAAGAUUACGAACUGAAAGGAUUGAAGCAGAAGCAAGCUAAUUGCAUGAUCCAGCCAUAGAGACCUCUGAAGAUUUCGAUUUGAGCCGUUUUCAUCUUAGCUCCAACAGAUACGAAGGGUUAACAACGAUGUGUUUAGAGUUUGUAAAAUAUUUCAUGAAACAGAGCAAGGGUGGGAGCUUUACACUUGCGUCUGCCUUGGAAUUGAGAAGUCACUAUCGAUGGAAAAAGUAAAGGCUACAAGUUGAGCGCUGGCCAAAACAGAUUCUUUAAGGCAAGUUUGCCUUGCCUAGAAACAGUAUCUGCUAAUUGCACGUCACUGACAGAAAGCAAAUAUAUUCUCAAAGAAAUGGAUUGCUUGAUCACAAGAGACUAAGGUGUCCUUCAUGAGCUUUUGUUACUCACAACUUUGCCAUUUUCAAGAUGUAUCCUUAUAGGUAGGAACCCUUACAAGGUUAUCUCUGCCAAACGAUAUCACAACCACACGCAACCACCCAAUUGCUCUAUUUUCAUAUAUAUUUUGGAUAAGGAUAUGAACAUAAUCCCUCAACAGAGCAUGGAGAUGAGGAGGGAUCUGGUGUUAACUGCUGCAGUUGCGGCUGUGUGCUCCAUAGCAAAGGUAUCAGAACAAGAACCUAAGAUAGGGGCAGAAGCAGCCAAUAAGAAGUAUACUUAUGUUUGUGCCACAGUGCCUACGGCCAAGAUUUGGAGAAACUGAGAUCACUUUCUUACCAACAAAACUAUAUAUCCAUUUCAUGUGUCUGUAGAAUUAUAACUGUUACUAUGUAAUCAGAUGAAAAAUCCUUUGAUGAUGUAAGUUUUUUCUUUUGUAACUGAUUUGUUUUGUUGAUGUUUGGUUUGGUAAAAAAAACCAAUUAGAAAUCAA